AGUGAACGCUGGCGGUAGGCCUAACACAUGCAAGUCGAACGGCAGCACAGUAAGAGCUUGCUCUUGCGGGUGGCGAGUGGCGGACGAGUGAGGAAUACAUCGGAAUCUACUUUUUCGUGGGGGAUAACGUAGGGAAACUUACGCUAAUACCGCAUACGACCUACGGGUGAAAGCAGGGGAUCUUCGGACCUUGCGCGAUUGAAUGAGCCGAUGUCGGAUUAGCUAGUUGGCGGGGUAAAGGCCCACCAAGGCGACGAUCCGUAGCUGGUCUGAGAGGAUGAUCAGCCACACUGGAACUGAGACACGGUCCAGACUCCUACGGGAGGCAGCAGUGGGGAAUAUUGGACAAUGGGCGCAAGCCUGAUCCAGCCAUACCGCGUGGGUGAAGAAGGCCUUCGGGUUGUAAAGCCCUUUUGUUGGGAAAGAAAAGCAGCAGGUUAAUACCCCGCUGUUCUGACGGUACCCAAAGAAUAAGCACCGGCUAACUUCGUG
Molecule: ribosomal RNA, 492 nt
Filed under: uncultured bacterium
Lineage: Bacteria
Description: partial 16S ribosomal RNA
Rfam family: Bacterial small subunit ribosomal RNA
Source: RNAcentral